Long non-coding RNA from Daphnia magna, 2050 nucleotides. RefSeq lists it as uncharacterized. The transcript is spliced from 11 exons. Lineage: Eukaryota; Metazoa; Arthropoda; Branchiopoda; Diplostraca; Daphniidae. The record is from RefSeq and is a predicted model, not a curated record.
UUAGGUGAGACAUCUCUUUAUCUGUUUGUACUAACAAAAUAAAAUAUUUCGUAAUGAACAGCAGAACAUGCAAAACAUGCUUGUCUGUCCAUCUCAGUGAUGAGAUGGCAAAUUUGUUGAGUAAAUCUGACUAAGGAAGCAAAUCUGAGAAGUGUUCCUAAAAGUAACUUGUCCCAGUGUGAUUUUCAUAGCAAUCCAUCAUUUUUUCCAAAGAUUUUUUUAUGAAGCUACAACAUAGAAGGUCGUGACCCAGUAAGCAUCAUACAGGGAGCUCCUAUGUAUGAAAGGAACUUUCUUCAGUAUUGAUACUGGGAUAAAUGACUUUGUUCUCAUCAACUUUCAGUUUAAAGAAACCAUUAACUCCUCAAAGACCACAAGUACACCUGUUACCACCACCCGGUUCCAAAUCGAUGAUUGCUUGGAUUCUAGAAAAAAACAAUGCUCGGUAAAGUAAAUUUUACAGUUGCCAACCACAAUAGUUCCGCACUGUAAUAAAAUCUCGGUCAGUGACUCGGUGUCGCCAACGUGAUACAAAGUUAUUCAACUCUUUACAUCAAACCUGUUGAGAAGGAUGCCCCAGGCUGGACACUAUUACUCCAAUUGAAAAUGAAUGGACACAGGUAACAAGUUUAGAGAGACUUUUAUCAGAUCACCUUGCAACCUCUUACUUUCAUUUGAAAGUAAUUCAAUUCAUUUAUAGCACUCAUGCAAGAUGCAACCACCAUUUAGACAUCUUAAAAACGUAUUUUAGGAUAUGCAAACUAUGGCACUUAAUUUUUAUAUAAUACUUCGCAAGUUUGUCGCAUGUGAAAAAGAAUAAAAAUGGAAUGUGAUGCCUAGGUAGCAUAAUGAGGUCAGAAGAUUGCCCAACAUCUAUGGAAAAAUGACUUGAUUGAUGAACCAGCUAUAUUUAGCAGGUUGGCUUUAUUGGAGAACUGUUAAACAUUUGAUAUUCAUAAUGUUCGCAAGGCUUUUAAGAAAAUAGUUUUCAUUGCACUGGCGACAAUUCGGAAUGGCGAGGUGCGAAUGAAUCGGAUUAAAAGUCAGCGUGGAAAUGCAAUAGUUCCGCAGCUGGCAAGAAAUGAGAGGACGAUUGGUGAUGAGACAAUUUAUUCUAAUCGCUGUAACUCAUGGACACGUCGACAUUCGUGGUAAUCAAACUUAGAACGUCUGCAAUGCGAAAUUUUUCACCAAUAUAAAGGAAAGCUGCAAACAUAUUUUCAGCAUUUUUAAUAAAAAAAUAAGCGCGUUCAUUCCCUUCAACCAAUUGUCAACGCGAGGCCCCGUAGGAACCUUCCAUACGUCACUUUUAUUGUAGCUGACAGUGACUGUAAUUAUGGCUUACUUAGCCCAUGCUUAUCCAGAGCUGCCUUGUUGAUCCCCGCCCUAAAAACUAUCAUCUUCAAAAGCUUCCAGGUUUGUUGUGGUCGUAGAACAGCAGACGACGAAGUUCAAAGCGGCAUUGUACCAUCGGGCAGAAUCCAAACGGUUGAUGCAUUGAAAAUGUCGGAGCUCUGUUGAUGAAUUUUCACCAGCACUCUUCCACAAGACGCGCGCGAAGCAAACGAUAGCAAAGGAGAUAUGGACUUGAAUUGGUUGUUUACCACCCGUGGCUUUCCCGCAUCCCAGGAUUAGUCUUGUACACCUUUUGCACUUGUACAGAGCGUUCGGGAACGAAAUUAGUUGUGGAUGGGUUUGCUGUUGACAAGCAAGGGAAGGAUUUUUACUACCAAACUAGAUAGGAAUGAAAUUUGUUGUGGCUGGUUUGUUUGUUGACAAGCAAGGGAAGGAUUUUUUUACCAAAGUAGACAGGAUAUUUAUUCUUAAUCCCACAAUGUCUUGACUACAAAUCAUGCUGAAUUAGAAUAGUAUGUUGAUCGAGGCUGGGUGCCAAAGCAAUGGAUGAUAAUUGAUUGGACUCUAAUCACUGCUGAGAUGGCCACUGAUGUGCAGUUCUUGUACUGCGAAUUCCCGGAUUGCCUUUGAAUGAUUGCCGAUGACAUCUCAAUUCUGUAGUUGGUAGAUAUCUGUUGAACAUAGUUGAAACUCA